Molecule: long non-coding RNA, 632 nt
Organism: Micropterus dolomieu (smallmouth bass)
Lineage: Eukaryota; Metazoa; Chordata; Actinopteri; Centrarchiformes; Centrarchidae
Exons: 3
Source: RefSeq, a predicted model, not a curated record
CGCACCUGUCUGCGCCUCAGCCAAUCCAAUAACACAUCACUCAGCCGGUGUGUGAGGACUCACAGUCGCCUCGUGUGUUCAGAUCCUCCUGCUGCUGAACGCUCCGCUCUCAUUGGUGGCCAGAACCUGCACUUUCAACCAGGAGACCGGGCUUCAUGUCACUGAACGCUGGAUGUUUUUCUUGUCCUCCUCAGUUAGCCACGAGUACGAGAACUGUGUGUUUCUGUCUACGUGACUGACUGAACACUUUCCAGCGCUGAGCGUUCGGCAGCAGCGCCGCACGGCGGCAACCUGGUCUGGUUCAUUUAAAGAGGAACAUUGUGACUGGACCUUCACAUCAGGACGAUCAGGUCCGGACCAGAGUUCAGCUCUGAGCUCACGUACCUGUCCACACACGGACAGUCGGACCCGUCUAUUACAGGGCUGGAAAUGGACCAGGACAGCUUCCGUCUAACGCCUGACCUUUGACCCUACAGCUGUGAGUGUGUUUGUUGGUUAGUGUCCCCUGCGGCUGCAGAGCUCACACCGGCACACAUGGAGACCAUUUACACAGAGUGUAACUGAUAAAUACCUUGAUCCUAUUACCGUUACAUAAGAGGACACGUCCACACUCCCUCGCACAGGAAGUUGGU